Molecule: long non-coding RNA, 2127 nt
Organism: Esox lucius (northern pike)
Lineage: Eukaryota; Metazoa; Chordata; Actinopteri; Esociformes; Esocidae
Exons: 4
Source: RefSeq, a predicted model, not a curated record
AUGCGCAGCGCGGGUGUUGUUCUUUUCGAAACCUGUUGCAGAGGGAGAAAACGGCGAACAUUUAGCUGUGAAAUAUUUUUUAUUUUAUUUAUGCUGGUGUCUGAAAACAUUUUCUGUUGACGUAGAGGGAGAAAACGGCGAACAUUUAGCUGUGAAAGAAAUAUAUUGUUUUGAUGCUGGUGUCUGAAAACCUUUUCUGUUGACAUAGCUGUGAAAAGAAAAGAGCGUAGAAGGACAGCGGACUGGAUUCUGACCUGCAGGCCUGAGUUUGGAUUUCCAUUUCUACUACCUCGCCAUUGCUCAUAUAGUGUUUAUAGCCCAGUGGGUUGAAAACUUCAUGACUGAGAGCUGUUCUUCAUUACUACUGAACACACAACAACCAUGACUUGUAUAGUCAUCUUCAUCUGGACACUUGUCCUCUGCUUCAAAGAAUCCAGAGGUCAGUACAUUGUGACUCAGACUCCUGCAGUUGAAGCUGUUCUCCCAGGACAGACAGUCUCUCUGAAAUGUAGAACCAACAGUAAUGUGCAAGGUACUUGUUGGAAUGGUCAGUCAUCGAAUGACCGUCAGUGUCUAGCCUGGUUCCAACAGAAACCUGGAGGAGCUCCCUAAACUCCUAAUUUACUCUGCUAAUAUACUUCAGUCUGGGGUUCCAUCUAGAUAUAGUGGCAGUGGAUCUGGGAGUGACUUCACCCUGACCAUCAGUGGAGUCCAGACUGAAGAUGCAGGAGAUUACUACUGUCAGAGUUUACAUUGCCCUAGUAGCUGUGUGUUCACACUGUGAUACAGAGCCGUACAAAAACCUCCCUAAGUCAGACUGUACAGUGACUGAACUGUUACAGCUGGGACCUACUGCAGGUGUUGAGGGGGAAGAGACAGUGACAUGGACCACUGGUCAGUAGAGGUCAACUUUGAAUGAGAUUAGAAAGGAUUAUUCAUAUCACAUGUUCUCCAUCAUUAUAAUCACACAUGAUGAUUGUGACUUGUUACAUGGUGUAGAAUUGCACCCAUGAAGUUAUUUCAUGUUUUGAAACACACUAGAGUUGGUAAAUAAUGCCACUUGCAACACCAGUGUUGGAGGGGUUCAUUCCCACAAGUAGAUACACUCAUGCUGACAGUCGUGAUAAGUGUUGCAGUUUGUGGAUAAGAUUGUCUGCUACAUAACUUAGAAUGCUGAGGUGAUGAUACAUCCUCUGAAACUAUCUGACCUGUCACCUGUCCAGAAUCUCCAAAACAAUGACCUUCAGCACCAUCUUCAUCUAGAUAUUUUACCUCAUAAUUAUCUUCAUUUUAACAAUCAUCACUAUCAUGGUUUGUUAAAUUACACAUGAUCGGAAAGUGAAAAUGUGUUGUUCUAGAAACUAAUGGUCUUGAGUCUGAAGUUCUAUAGAAGUCUUUAAUUAUUUUCGUGCAUGGGAAAAAGAAAAGAUAACAGCCAAACAGGAUGGGUGAAACUCAAGUGUUUCAAAGUAUCUAGAUAUAACAAGCUGGUUUUAUGGGCCCAUAGUAGUUGGCUACUCCCCCUUAAGUAUACAGUCAUCCCUAUAAAUGGAAAAACCAUCCAUAAUCUGCUCAGUCUUUUCUCCCUACUUCCACAUAUCCAUAUAUCGUUUCUGAUUAUCCAACAUUAGAUUAGCUCACUUCAUAAACAGGUUACUGAACAUGAAUCAAACCUGAUGCUGGGCUGAAACAUGAGAAACAUGGUUUGUACAUACACUAUCUACAAGAAAUAUAAUACCCAUUUUAGUGGCAUAUCUGGUAUGUUUCCCUCAUUAAAACCACCAUGUAUGUUAAAACCAGGCACUCACAUCUAGACCAGUCCAGGUUAUAUCAAACAGUGUUCAACAGCUAGUCUGGUAGCCGUGGGAGUAAAACUGAGAUUUCCAUAGACAGGGCUGGUUGGUAUGGUAACUAAAUGUUCACCUUGUUCCAAGGACGUUGAGAAGACUGUGAUUGUCUUGAAGUUGUGGUACUAGUAAUAUUAUGUGUGAACAUUUAAGAAAAGGGCUAAAAUCAGGUAUGAUCACACUUGUGAGUCUGUGAUGAAAUGUUUAAUUGUCAUGCCAUGUCAGUGAGAUCCAAUGCCUUCCUAAUCUCAUUAAUUCACAAUAAAUUGUUGUUAUUUUA